GGCCACAUAGUGUAGUGGUUAUCACCCGGGAUUCUGACAUACGAUUUCCCGUGACCCAGGUUCGAUCCCUGGUGCGGCCU
This is a non-coding RNA of Dentipellis sp. KUC8613, 80 nucleotides long. The record is from the annotation of a GenBank genome assembly. NCBI's taxonomy places the organism in Eukaryota, Fungi, Basidiomycota, Agaricomycetes, Russulales, Hericiaceae.